GUCCCUGUAGCGCAAUAAAUAGCGCGUUGGACUUCUAAUUCAAAGAUCGUGGGUUCGAUUCCCACUUGGGAUG
This 73-nucleotide transfer RNA is filed under the name Trichonephila inaurata madagascariensis. It matches the Rfam family "tRNA". Rfam says of the family: Transfer RNA (tRNA) molecules are approximately 80 nucleotides in length. Their secondary structure includes four short double-helical elements and three loops (D, anti-codon, and T loops). Further hydrogen bonds mediate the characteristic L-shaped molecular structure. tRNAs have two regions of fundamental functional importance: the anti-codon, which is responsible for specific mRNA codon recognition, and the 3' end, to which the tRNAs corresponding amino acid is attached (by aminoacyl-tRNA synthetases). tRNAs cope with the degeneracy of the genetic code in two manners: having more than one tRNA (with a specific anti-codon) for a particular amino acid; and 'wobble' base-pairing, i.e. permitting non-standard base-pairing at the 3rd anti-codon position. Lineage: Eukaryota; Metazoa; Arthropoda; Arachnida; Araneae; Nephilidae. The record is from Rfam by way of RNAcentral.